RNAcentral lists this long non-coding RNA (454 nucleotides) under Capra hircus (goat). RNAcentral describes it as "lncRNA (ENSCHIG00000007544.1)". The record is from RNAcentral. Lineage: Eukaryota; Metazoa; Chordata; Mammalia; Artiodactyla; Bovidae.
CUUACAAGCAAAGUUUCUACUGUGAAUGAAUUUAAUCGUUGUUUUUCUUUUUAUGCAGUUUGAAUCUUAUUAUGAGAAAAAUUCCACUCGAAUGAGAUACCAAGAAGCAGCAUCCACUCGAGAUUCAGAUCCAGAAAAAUUAUACAACUUAAAAUGUGAUCGGGGUAAAGCUUUGAAAAGUGCUAAUGAGAUUCCUCCAAGUUGGACCAGUUUCCGAGUUCUCAGGAGAAGCAUGUUGGCCAGGCGUUACAAUCUACUGCUGGCUCAGGCAGAGGACUGUGCACGUGAUCACAAGGGGUGGCCAGAAAUGGGCUCCCUCGCAGGAGAGCCUGGAUUCGGUGGGGAAGAGAAAACAAAGAUCGCAAUUAAAUCAACCCCCCUUAACCAGGACUCUUUGACCCAUGUCAGCAUCCCCCAUGGUACCCAACCAAACGCAUGGAAAAGAAGAUGGUGA